AUUGAACGCUGGCGGCAGGCCUAACACAUGCAAGUCGAACGAGUGGCGGACGGGUGAGUAAUGGCUGGGAAACUGCCUGAUGGAGGGGGAUAACUACUGGAAACGGUAGCUAAUAACGCAUACCAUCGGAUGUGCCCAGCUGGGAUGAGCUUGUAGGUGGGGUGACGGCUGACCUAGGCGACGAUCCCUAGCUGGUCUGGGAGUAUGACCAGCCACACUGGAACCGAGACACGGUCCAGACGCCUACGGGAGGAAGCAGGGGGGAAUAUUGCACAAUGGGCGCAAGCCUGAUUCAGCCAUGCCGCGUGUAUGAAGAAGGCCUUCGGGUUGUAAAGUACUUUCAGCGGGGAGGCGUUACCCGCAGAAGAAGCACCGGCUAACUCCGUGCCAGCAGCCGCGGUAAUAC
This 406-nucleotide ribosomal RNA is filed under the name uncultured bacterium. Its description in RNAcentral is "partial 16S ribosomal RNA". It matches the Rfam family "Bacterial small subunit ribosomal RNA", at positions 30 to 526 of the family's 1533-position model. The record is from RNAcentral.